RNAcentral lists this ribosomal RNA (253 nucleotides) under uncultured bacterium. Its description in RNAcentral is "partial 16S ribosomal RNA". It matches the Rfam family "Bacterial small subunit ribosomal RNA", at positions 524 to 776 of the family's 1533-position model. The record is from RNAcentral.
UACGAAGGGGGCUAGCGUUGCUCGGAAUCACUGGGCGUAAAGCGCACGUAGGCGGCUUUUUAAGUCAGGGGUGAAAUCCUGGAGCUCAACUCCAGAACUGCCUUUGAUACUGAGAAGCUUGAGUCCGGGAGAGGUGAGUGGAACUGCGAGUGUAGAGGUGAAAUUCGUAGAUAUCAGGAAGAACACCCGUGGCGAAAGCGGCUCUCUGGAACGGUACUAACGCUGAGACGCGAAAGCGUGGGGAGCGAACAGG